ACUCAAAGGAAUUGACGGGGACCCGCACAAGCGGUGGAGCAUGUGGUUUAAUUCGACGCAACGCGAAGAACCUUACCUGGGUUAAAUCCCACAGUGCGGCCCUGGAGACAGGGCUUCCCUUCGGGGGCUGUGGGACGGUGCUGCAUGGCUGUCGUCAGCUCGUGCCGUGAGGUGUUGGGUUAAGUCCCGCAACGAGCGCAACCCUUACCGUUAGUUGCCAGCGUCAAGACGGGCACUCUAACGGGACUGCCGGUGACAAACCGGAGGAAGGUGGGGAUGACGUCAAGUCAUCAUGGCCUUUAUGUCCAGGGCUACACACGUGCUACAAUGGCAGGUACAAAGCGCUGCAAACCCGCGAGGGGGAGCCAAUCGCAAAAAGCCUGUCUCAGUUCGGAUUGGAGUCUGCAACUCGACUCCAUGAAGGUGGAAUCGCUAGUAAUCGCGGAUCAGCACGCCGCGGUGAAUACGUUCCCGGGUCUUGUACACACCGCCCGU
RNAcentral lists this ribosomal RNA (495 nucleotides) under uncultured bacterium. RNAcentral describes it as "partial 16S ribosomal RNA". It matches the Rfam family "Bacterial small subunit ribosomal RNA", at positions 899 to 1397 of the family's 1533-position model. The record is from RNAcentral.